GAUGAACGCUGGCGGCGUGCCUAAUACAUGCAAGUCGAGCGAACAGACGAGGAGCUUGCUCCUCUGACGUUAGCGGCGGACGGGUGAGUAACACGUGGAUAACCUACCUAUAAGACUGGGAUAACUUCGGGAAACCGGGGCUAAUACCGGAUAAUAUAUUGAACCGCAUGGUUCAAUAGUGAAAUACGGUUUUGCUGUCACUUAUAGAUGGAUCCGCGCCGCAUUAGCUAGUUGGUAAGGUAACGGCUUACCAAGGCGACGAUGCGUAGCCGACCUGAGAGGGUGAUCGGCCACACUGGAACAGAGACACGGUCGAGACUCCUACGGGAGGCAGCAGUAGGGAAUCUUACGCAAUGGGCGAAAGCCUGACGGAGCAACGCGGCGUGAGUGAUGAAGGUCUUCGGAUCGUAAAACUCUGUUAUUAGGGAAGAACAAAUGUGUAAGUAACUAUGCACGUCUUGACGGUACCUAAUCAGAAAGCCACGGCUAACUACGUG
This 497-nucleotide ribosomal RNA is filed under the name uncultured bacterium. Its description in RNAcentral is "partial 16S ribosomal RNA". It matches the Rfam family "Bacterial small subunit ribosomal RNA", at positions 28 to 507 of the family's 1533-position model. The record is from RNAcentral.